Molecule: ribosomal RNA, 467 nt
Filed under: uncultured bacterium
Lineage: Bacteria
Description: partial 16S ribosomal RNA
Rfam family: Bacterial small subunit ribosomal RNA
Source: RNAcentral
GAUGAACGCUGGCGGCGUGCUUAACACAUGCAAGUCGAACGGUGAAGGCGGAGCUUCUCUGCUGGAUCAGUGGCGAACGGGUGAGUAACACGUGAGCAAUCUGCCCCUGACUCUGGGAUAAGCGCUGGAAACGGCGUCUAAUACUGGAUACGAGCUGCGAAGGCAUCUUCAGCAGCUGGAAAGAAUUUCGGUCAGGGAUGAGCUCGCGGCCUAUCAGCUUGUUGGUGAGGUAAUGGCUCACCAAGGCGUCGACGGGUAGCCGGCCUGAGAGGGUGACCGGCCACACUGGGACUGAGACACGGCCCAGACUCCUACGGGAGGCAGCAGUGGGGAAUAUUGCACAAUGGGCGAAAGCCUGAUGCAGCAACGCCGCGUGAGGGACGACGGCCUUCGGGUUGUAAACCUCUUUUAGCAGGGAAGAAGCGAAAGUGACGGUACCUGCAGAAAAAGCGCCGGCUAACUACGUG